GGAGAAGGAAGGGAAGAAGGGAAAGCCACUGAAUGGCCCACUUGAGACCAGAAAAGAGAACAACACUGUCAGUCUGGAGUAAGUGACAAAAAUAAGAAAGGGAAGUCUAUCCUGAUGCCCAGCCAGGGAAAAAUGGGAAGAAAGAGAAGAGAAGAGAAGAGACAGAGAGGUUAUCGCAGGAGUGGGACUGGUGACUAAAGAGGAAAUGAGACCUAAGCUAGCCUCCUUGCCAUGUGAUACUCUGCACCACCUUGAGACUCUGCAGAGAGUACCCACCAACAAGGAAGCUCUCACCAGAUGCGCCCCCUUGACCUUGGACUUCUCCACCUCCAGAACAGUACAAAAUAAAUUUCAUUUCUCAUAAAUUACUCAGUUUCAGAAAUCCUGUUUAAGCAACAGAAAAUGGACUAAGCUACUGCCCUGCUGAUCAGCCAGCCACCUGUACAUGUGCACACCCAGAUGACAUAUGCAAGAAUGUUCAGACCAUGGUAGAUGUUUCCAAAGAUGGCCCCCAUCAAGUCCUUACCCCUGUGCAUGCAUAUGCCCCUUCUCCCAUUCAGUUACCCCCCUUCCCUUGAGACUGAGUUGGUG
This 591-nucleotide long non-coding RNA is filed under the name Homo sapiens (human). RNAcentral's name for it is "HSALNT0337210". Lineage: Eukaryota; Metazoa; Chordata; Mammalia; Primates; Hominidae. The record is from RNAcentral.